AUUAGAUAAAAAACCAACGCCCUUCGGGGCUCCUUGGUGAAUCAUAAUAACUUAACGAAUCGCAUGGCCUUGCGCCGGCGAUGGUUCAUUCAAAUUUCUGCCCUAUCAACUCUCGUUGGUAGGAUAGUGGCCUACCAUGGUGGCAACGGGUAACGGGGAAUUAGGGUUCGAUUCCGGAGAGGGAGCCUGAGAAACGGCUACCACAUCCAAGGAAGGCAGCAGGCGCGCAAAUUACCCAAUCCCGAUACGGGGAGGUAGUGACAAUAAAUACUGAUACGGGGCUCUUUUGGGUCUCGUAAUUGGAAUGAGAACAAUUUAAAUCCCUUAACGAGGAACAAUUGGAGGGCAAGUCUGGUGCCAGCAGCCGCGGUAAUUCCAGCUCCAAUAGCGUAUAUUAAAGUUGUUGCAGUUAAAAAGUUCGUAGUUGAACCUUGGCCCUGGCUGGCCGGUCCGCCUCACCGCGAGUACUGGUCCGGCUGGGGCUUUCCUUCUGGGGAACCUCAUGGCCUUCACUGG
RNAcentral lists this ribosomal RNA (516 nucleotides) under uncultured fungus. Its description in RNAcentral is "SSU rRNA". It matches the Rfam family "Eukaryotic small subunit ribosomal RNA", at positions 209 to 725 of the family's 1831-position model. The record is from RNAcentral. Lineage: Eukaryota; Fungi.